AACGAAAUCGUUUUUGGCUAUGCCAUUUUUAGUCAAUGUGAUCUAUAACAGGUGAGGAGGUGGCUUUGUGUAGCAUGCGUUGAUUUAGUUGUGUGAGUGUGUCGUUAGUGAUGUGCACAUAGCAACCAUUGCCCCUCUGAUUGGUGACGUCAUACAGUUUGUUAUUCGUGUCAGACUACAAGUGAAAAAAGAAAAUCCUUCGAACUAGUCAACAACGAUGCCUGUCUGUGCUUUAAAAACUUGUAAAAUACCAUCGUAUCGUCUAAGAAAACUAAGCCUUUCGAUAAGUUUUCACUUGUUUCCGAAAAACAUUUCUAUUCGGCACCGAUGGCUUUCGUUCUGUGGCAUCAAAGAUGGUCCGAACUUUUAUUUGUGCUCUCAGCACUUUUUGAGAAGCGAUUACGAAAACCGAUACAUGGACCAUGCUCGUCAGAAGUUACUGAAAAAUGCUGUUCCAACAAUUCGUUCCCCACCUCCUGAAAUUCCAUCGGCCAGAUCGCAGCGCGCAGAACGUAAAAAUCGUUCAGAUCUUGUGGCGAAGCUUAUUGAGGUAUAUGACCACGAAAAUCAAUAUCCUAGUGAAAGCCGUUCAUCUUAUAUUUCUGCAUGUGACUCCACAGAACAAUCUAAUCAAAUACCAUCUACUAAGGAAGCCAAUUUAGGUGCUGACGUUGUACCAACGCAGUCAUCUGCACCUCCUGGAUUACUCACUCUAUCCGACGAUGUCUUGAAUGAUGAAGCUCUUGAAACGGAGAUCUCAGCACAAUUUUCAAAUCAAUUUAAUAUACUAACCGAAUGUCAUUCAACCGAUUUGGCUCACGCUGGUCCAGAAAGCGAAAAUGUUGAAGAACGAAGUGGUAAGGCAAUUGUUUUGAUGAUUUUUCUAUUGCAUCUAGAGUAUUAUUAGAAACUUAACUUACACUAUUCAUUCUGUAGCGGUUUUCUCCACUGAUGCAGCACCAACGCAAUCAAAUUCACUUCCAGUAUUAACCAUUUCAACCGACGAAGUAAUAGAAGUAGUUGCUCUUAAAUCGAAAGUUUCUGAACAAUUUCGAAGCCAAUUAAAUGAACAAACCGACCUCUAUUCGCCUGAUUGGAUUCACAUUAGUCAAGAACAUGAAACUUUUAUUGAUCACAAUGGUAAGGUAAUAAAUUUAAUUUUUGUUGUCAGAAGUUUCAA
Aedes aegypti (yellow fever mosquito) is the source of this 1180-nucleotide long non-coding RNA. RefSeq lists it as uncharacterized. The transcript has 3 exons. Lineage: Eukaryota; Metazoa; Arthropoda; Insecta; Diptera; Culicidae. The record is from RefSeq and is a predicted model, not a curated record.